AACGAACGCUGGCGGCAUGCCUAACACAUGCAAGUCGAACGAUGCCUCCGGGCAUAGUGGCGCACGGGUGCGUAACGCGUGGGAAUCUGCCCUUGGGUUCGGAAUAACUCGCCGAAAGGCGAGCUAAUACCGGAUGAUGACGUAAGUCCAAAGAUUUAUCGCCCAAGGAUGAGCCCGCGUAGGAUUAGCUAGUUGGUGGGGUAAAGGCCCACCAAGGCGACGAUCCUUAGCUGGUCUGAGAGUAUGAUCAGCCACACUGGGACUGAGACACGGCCCAGACUCCUACGGGAGGCAGCAGUGGGGAAUAUUGGACAAUGGGCGAAAGCCUGAUCCAGCAAUGCCGCGUGAGUGAUGAAGGCCUUAGGGUUGUAAAGCUCUUUUACCCGGGAUGAUAAUGACAGUACCGGGAGAAUAAGCUCCGGCUAACUCCGU
This 432-nucleotide ribosomal RNA is filed under the name uncultured bacterium. Its description in RNAcentral is "partial 16S ribosomal RNA". It matches the Rfam family "Bacterial small subunit ribosomal RNA", at positions 29 to 506 of the family's 1533-position model. The record is from RNAcentral.